Molecule: transfer RNA, 70 nt
Filed under: Protanguilla palau
Lineage: Eukaryota; Metazoa; Chordata; Actinopteri; Anguilliformes; Protanguillidae
Description: tRNA-Ser
Source: RNAcentral
GAGAGAGUAAGAUUGACCCUGAAAAAUUGCUAGUUUUUCAGACCCGUGGUUUAAGUCCACGGCUCGCUCG